Molecule: long non-coding RNA, 3104 nt
Filed under: Callithrix jacchus (white-tufted-ear marmoset)
Lineage: Eukaryota; Metazoa; Chordata; Mammalia; Primates; Cebidae
Description: lncRNA (ENSCJAG00000079453.1)
Source: RNAcentral
AUCAUUGGUACUUUAUAUAUUUUUGUUCAGUGUGCAAUUCAAAGAAUGAAGAAAAGAAUCAAAAAUAAAUACUAUGAUAAAAACAUGAGUCUUCCUACGUUAAUUGACAGUGCAGGUGGUGGUCAGGACAUUACCAGCUUACAGGAGUCUAAUAAAUACAACAUGCAAGUAAAUGGCAAUUUGUAAGUAUGAUGGCUUAUAUUGAAUGUCAACUUGACUGAAGGAUACAAAGUAUUGUUCCUGGGUGUGUCCGUGAGGGUGUUGAUGAAGGAGAUUAACAUGUGAGUCAUAGACUGGGAGAGACAGACUUACCCUCAAUCUGGGUGGGCAGCAUCUAAUCAGCUGCCAGCGUGAAUAGAAUAGAGCAGCAGAAGAUGGAAGAGCAGGUUUGCUGAGUCUUCCAGCCUUCAUCUUUCUCUCAUGCCAGAUGCUUCCUGCCCUCAAACAUCAGAUUCCAGGUUCUUCAGCAUUUGGACUCUUGGAUUUACAGCAGUGGUUUGCUGGGGGCUCUUGGGCCUUUGGCCACAGACUGAAAGUGCACAGUCAGCUUCCUGACUUGAGAUUUUGGGGCUCUGACUUUCUUGCUCCACUGGCUUUCUUGCUCCUCAGCUUGCAGAUGACCUAUCAUGGGACUUCACCUUGUGAACAUCUCACUGGAUGUUUCCAAGUGCAAUCACAAAACUUAAUGGAGAUCAGAGGGCCCCUUUACUUGGAAGAAGAAUUUGAACCCCCUUGGUUUGGAAGGACAUGGAUGAAUCUGGAGAACAUCAUCCUCAGCAAACUGACACAAGAACAGAAAUUGAAACACCGCAUAUUCUCACUCAUAGGCGGGUGAUGAAAAAUGAGAACACAUGGACACAGAAAGGCUUCACCAUCUGUCUUUGAAGCUCUUCCCAUCAAGAGAUGCUGUCUAUCAAAUAUGAGCUGGUCUUGUGACUAAGUUUAGCAAUCAGAGGUGACUGUGUACUAUUUCCAAACUUGGGACUCAAAAUCCUUGAAUGCUUUUUUUUUUUGACUCUGGCUUUGCCAUGAGAACAUGCCUAGGUUAGAACUUUGGAAGAUGAAGCACAUGGAUGAGAGUAGCCAACCAUCAGUUAUGGCCACAGGUUUGAAAGAGCCCAUCAAGAUCAAUCAAGCCCCCUCCAAUCUGACCCACAGUGCAUUGCAGACUUAGUGAGCACAAGUAAAACCAAAGAGCCAUCUAUCCCAUUUAAAGCCUUGUGAGCAAUAAUAUAUCACUAUGGUUUUAAACCAUUGAGUGUGGGAUGGUUUAUUGAAAUUUUUGUUCAUGAUAAUAAAAAGUAAGAGCGAUUGAUACUUAAUAUAAGGUGCUAACACAUAACUUGUCUUUUUAGUUCAAGAAAAACUUGAGGUUGGGUGCGGUGGCUCAAGCCUGUGAUCCCAGCACUUUGGGAGGCUGAGGCGGGUGGAUCACGAGGUCAACAGAUCGAGACCAUCCUGGUCAACAUGGUGAAACCCCGUCUCUACUAAAAAUACAAAAAAUUAGCUGGGCAUGGUGGCGUGUGCCUGUAAUCCCAGAUACUCAGGAGGCUGAGGCAGGAGAAUUGCCUGAACCCAGGAAGCAGAGGUUGCGGUGAGCUGAGAUCGCGCCAUUGCACUCCAGCCUGGGUAACAAGAGCAAAACUCCAUCUCAAAAAGAAAAAAAAAAAGAAAAACUUGAAAUAUGUGGCAUGGGUUUGCAACUGGUUACAAGUGGGGUUUGGAAAAUGUUGCAAACUGUUAACAAACUUGAAGCCAGAUAAAGAAAGUGUAAUGGAAGCUUGGCAAAAUGAUUAUGUGUGUAAUGCCAUUACAAAAUAAUUGACAAAACUGCUGCCUGCAGUAACUUGGAAGAUGGAAAAUAUAUAUAAUGAAUUUUGGAUUUGCCUAAGGAGGUCUCUAGGCAGAGUGUUGAAAGUGUCAACUGGAUUUUCUUAAUUGCGUGUAGGACAGCAAGAAAGUGAUGAACUAAAGAAAAAAGUUGGUCACUUUCCAAGCAAGACUUAAAGGGUAGAUGAGAGGGCCAGACCUAUGGGCUACAAAAUAAAACAGUUUCUCAUCUCUAGUUUCUCUAGUCAGGAAAAUCUUAUUAAAGUAAAGUACUAGAUGCUCCUCAACUUAUAAUAGAGUUACAGCCCCUUAAGCCCACUCUGAGUUGAAAAUAUCUUGAGAUAAAAAUUCACUGAAUACAUCUAACCUAUUGAACAUAAUAGCUUAGUCUUGCCUACCUUAAAUGCAUCCAAACACUUUCAUUAGCCUACAGUUGAGCAAACUAACACAAAGCCUAUUUUAUAAUAAAGUGUUAUAGUGUCUCAGGUAAUUUUUUGAAUACUGUACUGAAAGUGAAAAACAGAAUGGUUGUAUGGGUACUUGAAGUAUUGUUUCUACUCAAUGAAAUCAUUGUUGACUUCAUGGUUGAACCAUCCUAAGUCAACUUAUAGGUUGUACUGUCUGUGUAACCUGGGACAUAGAUUAAAUGAACAUUGCUUACGAUCCCUUGGUAAACCCCAUGGAAAAAUUAAGGAAGUGCUUAGCUGGCCCUCACAAGUGGACAAAAAGACUGCCAGGAACAAAGAGUGUCUCUCACAGAUAUUUAAUAUACUCCAAAUGAGUGUGAUUAAAAAAAAUUUAUUGAGAAGAGUUGAGGAUAAAUAAAUUUAAAUUAGUUGAAAGCCUACAACACUUUUAAUGGGUUGUGUAGGCAAAAGUGCCAUCAUUCUGGACUCAUAGGUAUUGAGUUUUUUCAAAAUGCAAUAGGCUUUUGGAUCCCUAUCCUUCUGUGAACAGAAAGUUGGAUUAAAAAAAAUAGCUUUUCCUUAGCCUUUUAAAAUGGAGGAGGAGAAAGUUGGAAAAGAAAGAAGUUCUGAGACAGUGAAACUAUGGAAAAUAAUGGACUGUGGAACCAGAUGAAGGGAGCAGAAUGGAGGUCAGAUCUGGAACUGGUCUAUUCACCAAAAUGUCAGGAUACAUAGAAACAUUUGCCAAGUUGGAUUUCAGAAUUUUUUUUAACAUCGAGUUUCAUGUAUCUCCCAUCUUGGACUUUUUAAAUGAAGGUACCAUUUAAAACAACUCUCCUGUCUUUGUCUCACCAUUGUAUGCUUGGC